Molecule: ribosomal RNA, 1306 nt
Filed under: uncultured bacterium
Lineage: Bacteria
Description: bacterial SSU rRNA
Rfam family: Bacterial small subunit ribosomal RNA
Source: RNAcentral
AACGUACGCUGGCGGCACGCCUAACACAUGCAAGUCGAACGAAGUAGCAAUACUUAGUGGCAGACGGGUGAGUAACAUGUAGGUAUCUGCCCUAUGGCCUGGAAUAACACGAGGAAACUUGUGCUAAUACCGGAUAAGUCUUUACGGAGAAAGCUUUAUGCACCAUUGGAUGAGCCUGCACUUGAUUAGUUUGUUGGUGGGGUAAUGGCCUACCAAGACUGUGAUCAAUAGCUGAUUUGAGAGGAUGAUCAGCCACAUUGGGACUGAGACACGGCCCAAACUCCUACGGGAGGCAGCAGUGGGGAAUCUUGCACAAUGGAGGAAACUCUGAUGCAGCGAUGCCGCGUGAGUGAAGAAGGCCCUUGGGUUGUAAAGCUCUUUCGUCGGGGAAGAAAAUGACUGUACCCGAAUAAGAAGGUCCGGCUAACUUCGUGCCAGCAGCCGCGGUAAUACGAAGGGACCUAGCGUAGUUCGGAAUUACUGGGCUUAAAGAGUUCGUAGGUGGUUGAAAAAGUUAGUGGUGAAAUCCCAGAGCUUAACUCUGGAACUGCCAUUAAAACUUUUCAGCUAGAGUAUGAUAGAGGAAAGCAGAAUUUCUAGUGUAGAGGUGAAAUUCGUAGAUAUUAGAAAGAAUACCAAUUGCGAAGGCAGCUUUCUGGAUCAUUACUGACACUGAGGAACGAAAGCAUGGGUAGCGAAGAGGAUUAGAUACCCUCGUAGUCCAUGCCGUAAACGAUGUGUGUUAGACGUUGGAAAUUUAUUUUCAGUGUCGCAGGGAAACCGAUAAACACACCGCCUGGGGAGUACGACCGCAAGGUUAAAACUCAAAUGAAUUGACGGGGACCCGCACAAGUAGUGGAGCAUGUGGUUUAAUUCGAAGAUACGCGCAGAACCUUACCAACACUUGACAUGUUCGUCGCAACUCUAAGAGAUUAGAGUUUUCGGUUCGGCCGGACGAAACACAGGUGCUGCAUGGCUGUCGUCAGCUCGUGUCGUGAGAUGUUGGGUUAAGUCCCGCAACGAGCGCAACCCUCACUUUUAGUUGCCAUCAUUAAGUUGGGCACUCUGAAAGAACUGCCAGUGAUAAGCUGGAGGAAGGUGGGGAUGACGUCAAGUCCUCAUGGCCCUUACGUGUUGGGCUACACACGUGCUACAAUGGUAUCUACAACAGGAAGCAAGACUGCGAAGUUAAGCAAAUCCCUAAAAGAUACCUCAGUUCGGAUUGCACUCUGCAACUCGAGUGCAUGAAGCUGGAAUUACUAGUAAUCGUGGAUCAGCGUGCCACGGUGAAUGCGUUCCCGGGUCU